ACAGGACUAAACUUAUUAGGGCCGUGAUUAAUAGCAAUUGUAGCUUAAAUUGGUCCAUAGUUUUUGUGUAUGUUAUUAAUCAAAUAAUGAAAUAAUCACCCAACCUUCCAGCAGUAUAUUAACUCUGUAGAGUUCUAGCUGAAAUCUAAUCUUUAGUAGUCCUCAUCACCAAGUGUUCGAAUCGAAGGUAUCAUGAUCUUACUCUGGAGUCAAUGAAUGAUGCUAACAUUGUAAAGAAUGCAAAAUUCGAAUAAUACGUUACUAAAAAUCUCGGAUUAGUUACUGUAAUAGUUGCAAUUGCAAAAUUUACAGGAAGAAUUAUUGAAGAAGAUUGAUUUUGAUUUAAUAUAUGUAUGAUCCUUAAAUCAUGGAUAUAAAUUUAUCAAAACUGAAUAUAAUGGCCUGUUUUUCUCUUUAAAGUUGUGAAUUAAGUUCUAAUCCGAGAUGUUUUUCUCUUUAAAAUGUGGUGAGAAUGAUAUGAUUAGUAUUCUUAUUUUUCAUGCUUAGGUUUUAUCUUGUUUGAAAUGAGUUGAAUGAGUCUAUUGACUUUGUGGCUAUGAUGCGAGCGUGUAGUAUCAUCAAAAAUUGGGAGGAAGUGAGAUGUGGAUACUAUGUCGUGUACUAUAUGUUUGAAACAGUUCAACAUCACCGUAGUAAUGAGGAUCUUGUUAGAUUUUUGAAGAACAAUACCUUAUAAUGGGGAGGAGAUAAAUGAGGUUCGAGAUAUUUAGUCAAACUAUUUCAUGAUCAAUGUUGAAAUUUAGAUUUAAACUUAGCUAAAUCCAUUUGUUUGUUAGACUUUUUUUUGUUUUAGUUCUUAGGCUUGAAAUGAAUGUAUUUGGGGUACCAACAUUUUGGGUUGGUCUUUGUUCUUGUGUUGGUUGAUGAUAUCAAUAAUUUUGAGUUGUAAAAUUUUGAGACUCUGCUGAAAUUUACAUUUAAAUUCAA
Long non-coding RNA from Chenopodium quinoa (quinoa), 948 nucleotides. RefSeq lists it as uncharacterized. The record is from RefSeq and is a predicted model, not a curated record. NCBI's taxonomy places the organism in Eukaryota, Viridiplantae, Streptophyta, Magnoliopsida, Caryophyllales, Amaranthaceae. The transcript is spliced from 2 exons.